Molecule: ribosomal RNA, 205 nt
Filed under: uncultured bacterium
Lineage: Bacteria
Description: partial 16S ribosomal RNA
Rfam family: Bacterial small subunit ribosomal RNA
Source: RNAcentral
CGUAGGCGGUUUCGUAAGUCCCGUGUGAAAGCCCCCGGCUCAACCGGGGAACUGCACGGGAAACUGCGAGGCUUGAGUUCGGGAGAGGGAAGCGGAAUUCCGGGUGUAGCGGUGAAAUGCGUAGAUAUCCGGAGGAACACCAGUGGCGAAGGCGGCUUCCUGGACCGAUACUGACGCUGAGGCGCGAAAGCUAGGGGAGCAAACG